Pangasius djambal is the source of this 97-nucleotide non-coding RNA. Lineage: Eukaryota; Metazoa; Chordata; Actinopteri; Siluriformes; Pangasiidae. The record is from the annotation of a GenBank genome assembly.
CCUUCAGUAGCUCAGGUGGUAGAGUAGAGUAGAGGACAGGACUGUAAAUGCUAACAAGGCCAUCCUUCAGUCACUGGUUCCAAUCCUGCUUGAAGGA